CUGCUCCUAUGAUCUGAAAUUUACCAUGUGCUAAAGUGGUGUCACAGUGGACUUUUAGGGCUGGUAAGAACAUGUAGGGCAAUGCAUUCACCUCCUUUUCUUUCCGAACCCGUGUUUUUAAACCAUGAGAAAAGAGUUGACGGUGCAGCCGCUCAAGGCAAGUAUACUAUGCACAUUUAGGGAAACUUUGAAAACAUAUUGGGUAGACAGCUAGGAUUGUAAUGCAUGAAUUAGCCCUUAGAUCUUCCCAUUGGGGAAUUGUUUCAGAAAGUCACUGUGGUGCAAGUAAAAAACAGCUGUGUGAAAGCUGGUUACAGACUCUUGAAUCAGAUUUGAUGCAAGUGAUGACAGCCUUUCAAGGAAUUGGCAGGUGUGUAUCCCACUUACUUUCACUUGCCUAUUUGCAUGCUGUGACUCUGAUCAUCUUGAAAGUGUGAGGUUUUGCUCAUAAAGGCUGAAGCAGUGACACCAGCAGGUAAAGGGUAAUUUCCAUGAAUUAUAAGGGACCAUUCUUCCGAGUUCAGACCCAGUCCUUAAAAGGAUAUUAUGCAUGCUUAAGAAGGUCAUUGCUUCGUGCUGGAGGUAAAACAAAUGCCAUGUGCAAAACGGAUUUGCUUUGGAUAAAGUAAGGCUUCAAAAAACAAAUGUUGAUGGCAGCCUGUACUUUCAGAGAAGAACAAAAGCUGAUCAGGCCAGCUUGUCUGUAUACACCUGUGUGUCACAGGACAGCUCGAAAGGUAGUUAUGGCCUGCUAACUUGGCUGGAAGGCUGUGUAUAAAACUGGCCCGUAGAGUGGCCAGUCAUCAGGCUUAUUGCCAGCCAGGCAUUAUGCUGUGUGAUCUGUUUCUCCAGACUGGAUAGUAACUGGCACUUCUUUAGCAAAGUUUCAAAAUAUUAAGGAGCCAAUCCAAUUUUAAAAUUGAUGAGCAUUUGGGCGAAAACAAUAUAAUAACAGACUUUCCAAGAGAGAGAGAGAGAAUCUUAGGGAUAAUGAUAUUCCUUGUAAGGGUGCUUUCAUUUGCACACACUAAACUGCAAAUCAGGCUUGUAAACUUUCUAUACACACGUCUUCCACACUUCACCAGUAUUUUUCUUUUUAAAGCAUUGUCUUGUUUAAAAGGAAAUAUGAUCCCUCUGCUGUGUCUGGAGGAGAUCUACACCUGUUUUCUGUCAUUGAGAACCACACCUAGAUAUGCUGCAGAAGCUGUUUUGUGAAUUGUUCCCCAACAUUUUUGUUUGUGGAACACCCACUCUGGAUCUGCAUGCUUGGCACCUAUACUCAAUGUCAUUCUGGAGCCAGCUAAAAGCAUAUAUUUUCCUCUGGUUUUCAGUUCAGUAAAUAUACUCGACUUUUAUUGCUCCUGAGCUAUUUCCUAGUUUUAUUGGCAUUUUUAUCUGGAUCUUUUGGCUGCUGCAAUGUAUUUUGAGUUUUCAUAUGAUUUAUUUUAGCAUGUUUUCCUGUUUGCUGCUUUGGUUUUUUUAGUGUGUGUGUGGAAUAGUGUGGGAUAUAAACCCAGUAAUUAAAUAGAUGCACUCAGGCUUAGUUUUAUUGUAUAAAUAUGGCUUUUUGGUUGCGUCCACGGGAUAAACUUGAGGUUGUGUGAAACUGCUCUGAUUUAGGGCCAGACUAGAUGAGCAGAGCCACCACGUAUAUGUUGAACAUGUGUUUGCUUGGUUCAUAUACAAAGCAGGGCUGGGUGGGUCUCAAAAAAAGGAGUGUACAAAGGAGGAGAGCAAAAUCUGGUCCACUCCUUUGUGUUGCCUUGCUAUGCUCUAUUGUUAAACAGUUCUUCCCUAGCCCGGAUUGGAUACCAGAAGUGAGGAAUCAUAUGCGUCCUCUGUAUGUUCCAUUGUGCAAAAUAGAGGGUAGAUGAGGAAUGAGAAACCUGUGACCCUCCAGAUGUUAUUGGACUCCACCUCCCAUCACCCUUGACUAUGGAGCAUGCUAACUGGGGCUGAUGGGAGAGAUAACCCUGGCAUACACACCCCACACCCUUGCAUUUCGGGUGUCUGGGGCAAACAUGCGUUGAUCAAAUUGUGUGGUCACCCUGCAUGAUUCUUUUGGCUCUCAAAGGGGACACUUGGGUAUUGCUGUUUUAUUGCUUGCACUCGUGGUGCGUUUAUGUCCUGAAUGAAGCGAACCCACAUCCUAACAGCAGUUUUCUGCUUUUGCAAUUUCAAUAGUGUCUUUCUUUUCCUUGUAGUUUAGUGACAACUUUGAAAGCAGUGUGUGCCAAAGCCUUAGCAGCCAGGAGGCAUAUCAAAAGAAACCUCAUUCAGUAAACCCCCUCCCCCAAGUCUGCUUAUUUCUAUCAUAAUGUGUUGGUCUUUUUUGAAGGGCUAUUUUUUUGGCCAUUGAAGCUAACUAUGCCACAAGAAUCCACGCAAAAACCCUUCCCCAGGUUUUGGCAACUGCUGCAGCCAUAGUGAUGAACGGCCAUGUCUCUGAAAUAUGCAAAUAAGAAUCAGCCGCCGCCUCUGGCACCAGAGACAUUUCCAAUGCAUUUUCUGGAUUUUAUUUUAUUUUUUGUCUGUACACUCGGCGGCCAGAUAGGCAUAAAAAAUGAUCCUGCUUCUUCGUAGUUCAAAUAAGCAUUUUGCUUUAAAUUACAUUGUCACUUACUAAACUUCCUGUAGCACUCUUGGCAGGCUGAGCUGGUUUUUUCUUGGGUUGUGUGCUCAGACUUUACUGUAUACAGUUGCCUGGGCUUUUUUUCUCUUUUCUUUUCUUCCUUUUUAGCCCAACAGUCACUGUGAGGAAAAGUACUGAGUUGUGCUUCCUGUGGUUAAUACAAACUAUUAUUGGCAUGGAGUAUUCUUUCCUGACCUCAUUAAUCAGGAAAAGAGAGGAGAGAAAAAGAGAGGGGGGGGGAGAGAAUAAAGAAACCUAAACAUGCUACUAAACUGAGUCUGAGAAAUGGGUGUCCUUAAUUAGUUGGAAAAGUGCUGUGCAUACAUGCUGAUAUUACCGCCACACAGGCAAUUUGCAGUACUGUUAACAUGCUUAAUGGAUAAUAUUAUUAUUUUUGACUUGUUUCAAGUCAAAGACUGUUGGAGUCCCCACCCACCCACCCAAAGACACUGUUAUUCUUUUCGUACGUGAAUUAUAAUAUCCGUCAAAAUUGGCAACAGAGUUUUGUGUCUAGGGAACAGAGCUGAUUCUAAGUUUUGGACAGACGUGUUAUAGUCCUGCAAGCAGCUAUAUUACUGCAGAGUGUUGGAGGAGGAUUGCUUGUUUGAAAGUGUUUCCAGUGACAAAAUUUCAUUGAACUGUAAAAUUUUCAUAUAGAGGGAGUGCAGGCAAUUAUUUUUGCUCAUUAGGUGCUUUCAUGAUGGUAUCUAAGGCAAUGCACAUAUUAAAAUUACAUAGAACCAGCUAUCAGUUAGGUACAACAAAUUCAAUUGUAACACGGGCAAUAAAAUAAGAAUGAUAAACACAGCAGCACUCAGUUUAUCCAUACACACAAACAACAUGAAAAAUCCUUUCAAAAGUACAGGAUAAGUAUCCCCUUCUUGAGAAAUACGGUAAAAAUGUGGUAAGAUGAAUCUCUAUUGGGAGAGUUCCAUAAAUUGGGUGCCAACAGAGAAGUUACCUGUUUCCCAGUGAUUUGGGACUGUAUCACAUCAGAAAGUGAAUGUUUAAAAUAUAAACAUUGUAAGUUAUUCAAAUGUGCACUUUCUGCUAUGGCAUAGUCCCAUCACAGAGGUGGGGGACUGCAAGCCUGGAAGUUUGAAAUCACUGAGAAGCAGAAAUUUUGUGAGUCUUUCUAGGUGUUGUGGGGCAUUAUAUAAAAUGGCAUGUUUCAAACAACAGAAAUGCUAAAAGCCACAAUGUGUCAUCUUUUAGAUCCGGAGUUUUAUGGUAUGUGUUUCUUUUAUAACGGUCUUUAUGGUUUGAGCAAUUUCAUAAGCUAGUCUUUUUAAAUACAUCAGGCAUUUCUGCUUGAAAGCGUUUUGUUUUGGAAUUGUGGCAAUUGCAAUUACCAGACUUGUCCUUCACGGAGAAAUACGUACCCGGCAGGAAUGGCAAUAAUCCAACUUUAAAUAUGGCAUGAAUAUGUUCUCUGUUCAGCAGGCUCAACUGUUGCACUGAGAACCAGGAUGCAUAUUCAGCCUUUGAAGAAUUACUUUUGUAAAGAAGCAACAUCCGCCCUUCCAGCUCUACUAUAAUUCUUGCAUACAUGACCGAUGUAUAUAGGAAAACUGAUAUAUGGCUAUUGAUAAGAUCAGGUUUGUACUUUUCAAGGUGUUUAGAAGUGGUAAAGUCUGUGGUGAGUUGUGCUAAGCACAGGCAGAAAGGAACCAGUUCAGUUUUUGUUUUUUUUAAACAAAGGAACUUCAGGCUUCAAAAAAGAAUCUCUGAAGAAUACUGCUUAAUUUUACUUCAGGACAUACUUUUGGAACUGACCUUGGCUACAGCUUGUGGUGUGUCCAGACCAGUGAGACAAGCCAUGAGCCUGCAGGUGGAAAAAUCAAAAUUGGAAACAGAAUUGUUAGACUCCAAAAUUAAGAAUUUGUCAAAAAUGUAUAACUUGCUGUUGAAAUGGAAUACUCAGGAUGAAACGGUGAAAUCAGCAAUGAUUAAAUGGGCACAAGAUGUUGGACAUAACAUAAUGAUGGCUGACUGGGAACAGUUAUGGACCACAGGUAUGAAAUUUAUGGCAUGUAAUGCUCUAAGAGAAAACUUAAUGAAAAUGAUUUAUAGGUGGUACAUGACACCAGUCAAGCUUGCAAAAAUCUACCAUUUGACUGAUAAUAAAUGUUGGAAAUGUAACGAGACUGAAGGCACAUUCUUUCACCUUUGGUGGACAUGCCCAAGGAUUAAGACAUUCUGGGAGAUGAUUUAUAACGAAAUGAAAAAGGUAUUUAAAUAUACCUUCCUGAAGAAACCAGAGGCCUUUCUCCUGGGCAUGGUCGGCCAAUUGGUGCCAAAGAAGGAUAGAACUUUUUUUAUGUAUGCUACAACAGCAGCAAGAAUAGUUAUCGUGAAGUAUUGGAAGACACAAGAUUUACCCACCCGGGAAGAAUGGCAGAUUAAGUUGAUGGACUAUAUGGAAUUGGCGGAAAUGACUGGCAGAAUCCGAGACCAGGGAGAAGAGUCGGUGGAAGAAGAUUGGAAAAAAUUUAAAGAUUAUUUACAGAAAUACUGUAAAAUCAAUGAAUGUUAGAAAAAUGUUGGAAUGAAGUUACAUGGCUUUAGUAGAAAUGUUAUAAGGAAUUAAGUAUAAAUAGAUUAAUAGAGUAUUAAAGGAAAAAAUAAGGUUAGAAUGAGUUAAGAUAAUUAUAGGAUAGAAAACAGAGGUAGAUGGAAAGGAAUUGCUGAAAUAAUUAACAGAAGUGGAAUACAAAAAGGGAGGUGUGAGGAGGUCGUGGAAAUAAGUGAAUGAAAGAUGGGAUAAUAAAAUUGUUUGAUUUAUUUUAUUGUUGUAUUGUUUUGUUAGUUUAAUGUAUUGUAUUGUAUGUGUUUUUUCUUUUCUUUUAGUGUUUAAUUUUUUUGGAAAAGUAAUAAAUAUUAUU
Molecule: long non-coding RNA, 5517 nt
Filed under: Podarcis lilfordi (Lilford's wall lizard)
Lineage: Eukaryota; Metazoa; Chordata; Lepidosauria; Squamata; Lacertidae
Source: RNAcentral